UUUUGAAAAUGAUGUCACCAUGGUGGUCCCAGAAGCUAAGCAGUGUUGCGCCUGGUUAGUACUGGGAUGGGAGACAGCCUGGGGAUACCAGGUGCUACAAGAU
This 103-nucleotide ribosomal RNA is filed under the name Neolamprologus brichardi. Lineage: Eukaryota; Metazoa; Chordata; Actinopteri; Cichliformes; Cichlidae. The record is from RNAcentral.